This 285-nucleotide ribosomal RNA is filed under the name uncultured bacterium. Its description in RNAcentral is "partial 16S ribosomal RNA". It matches the Rfam family "Bacterial small subunit ribosomal RNA", at positions 337 to 639 of the family's 1533-position model. The record is from RNAcentral.
GCCUACGGGGCGCAGCAGUGGGGAAUAUUGCACAAUGGGGGAAACCCUGAUGCAGCGACGCCGCGUGAGUGAAGAAGUAUUUCGGUAUGUAAAGCUCUAUCAACAGGGAAGAAAAUGACGGUACCUGACUAAGAAGCCCCGGCUAACUACGUGCCAGCAGCCGCGGUAAUACGUAGGGGGCAAGCGUUAUCCGGAUUUACUGGGUGUAAAGGGAGCGUAGACGGAAGAGCAAGUCUGAAGUGAAAGCCCGAGGACCAACUGCGGGACUGCUUUGGAAACUGCCCG